AUGGCGUCCGAUGGCAAGAGCAAGAUCCUUGUGAUCGGCGCGACGGGGUACAUCGGCAGGCACGUCGUCGCCGCCAGCGCGCGGCUCGGCCACCCCACCCUGGCGCUCGUCCGGGACGCCGCCCCCUCCGAGCCGGCCAAGGCGCAGCUGCUCAAGACCUUCCAGGACUCGGGCGUCACGCUCCUCACGGGCGAUCUCCACGACCACGGUAGCCUGCUGAUCGCCGUCAAGGCGGCCGACGUCGGCAUCUCCACGCUGGGCUCGAUGCAGAUCGCCGACCAGACCAAGCUCAUCGCCGCCAUCAAGGAGGCCGGCAACGUGAAGAGGUUCUUCCCGUCGGAGUUCGGGCUGGACGUGGACCGCACCGGCGCCGUGGAGCCGGCCAAGUCCAUCUUCGCCCUCAAGGCGGGCAUCCGCCGGGCCGUCGAGGCCGAGGGCAUCCCCUACACCUACGUGGUGGCCAACUACUUCGCCGGGUACUCGCUGCCCACCAUCGGGCAGGUGCUCUCCCCGGCGCCCCCGACCGACAGCGUCGUCAUCCUCGGCGACGGCGAGACCAAGGUGGUCUUCGUGGACGAGGCGGACAUCGGCACGUACACGGUGCUGGCGGCGGACGACCCCCGGGCGGAGAACAAGGUGCUGUAG
This 645-nucleotide ribosomal RNA is filed under the name Triticum aestivum (bread wheat). Its description in RNAcentral is "partial small subunit ribosomal RNA". The record is from RNAcentral. Lineage: Eukaryota; Viridiplantae; Streptophyta; Magnoliopsida; Poales; Poaceae.